GUAAGUGCAUUCUCUCAUUCUCCAUCUUCUGGAAAGCACUCUUUGAGCAUGUUGACAGAAUGAUUGACACUCACAUCUCUCUUAUUUCCAGUGAUUUCGCUACAGUUUACUAGCGUAUUCCUAGACUAAGACUACGGCAUUGAAGAAGCAAGCUCACUCUCAUUCCAAGAAUCAGAAAAAGGCAUUCUGUCCGGUAAUGAAUUUCGAAGUUUUCGGCUUGCUUUCUCUCUUCUCUUGCAGUUGGCAGUCUCAGUCAACCUUGUUUCGGGCCUUCUCUUCUACUCUAUCUGCUUAUUGGAUUGAUAGGUACAGUCUUUCUUCUAUGCUUCUGAUUGAACUUUAAGGUAAUGGGAGAGAAGGCAAUUGAUAGAUAACUGGUAAGUAAAGCUAUGGACUGGGUUCUCACUCUAAGCCA
Molecule: long non-coding RNA, 415 nt
Filed under: Solanum melongena (eggplant)
Lineage: Eukaryota; Viridiplantae; Streptophyta; Magnoliopsida; Solanales; Solanaceae
Description: long non-coding RNA (SMEL_LNC000024)
Source: RNAcentral